Molecule: ribosomal RNA, 439 nt
Filed under: uncultured bacterium
Lineage: Bacteria
Description: partial 16S ribosomal RNA
Rfam family: Bacterial small subunit ribosomal RNA
Source: RNAcentral
CCUACGGUGGGCAGCAGUGGGGGAUAUUGCACAAUGUGGGGAACCCUGAUGCAGCGCCGCCGCGUGGGUGAAGAAGCGCCUCGUCGCGUAAAGCCCUGUCAGCAGGGAAGAAAAUGACGGUACCUGAAGAAGAAGCCCCGGCUAACUACGUGCCAGCAGCCGCGGUAAUACGGAGGAUGCGAGCGUUAUCCGGAUUUAUUGGGUUUAAAGGGUGCGCAGGCGGAUUUUUAAGUCAGCGGUAAACUCGUGGGGCUCAACCCCAUCCAGCCGUGGAAACUGGGGAUAUAGAGUGUGCGAGAGGUAUGCGGAAUGCGUGGUGUAGCGGUGAAAUGCAUAGAUAUCACGCAGAACCCCGAUUGCGAAGGCAGCAUACCGGUGCACAACUGACGCUCAGGCACGAAAGCGUGGGUAUCGAACAGGAUUAGAUACCCUUGUAGUC